Molecule: non-coding RNA, 97 nt
Filed under: unclassified sequences
Description: SAM-I-IV sequence
Rfam family: SAM-I/IV (S-adenosyl methionine) riboswitch aptamer
About the family: It is found upstream of a number of genes which code for proteins involved in methionine or cysteine biosynthesis.
Source: Rfam by way of RNAcentral
CAUUGUCAUCAAGAGUUGGGAUGACACCCACACCAACCUGCUUACCGAGCAAGGUGGUCAAACGAUGUGGCCUUAGGGCAACCAAUCGCGUGUCAGC